GGAUCAAUAUGUCGGUCGUGCCUCGGUACGUACUGGCGUAAUUGAUUUCUCCCUUCUGAAGAACCUCGAUGUCAUUAAUUUGGUGUCGUGGGGAAUCAGGACUGUUACUUUGAAAAAAUUAGAGUGUUUAAAGCAGGCUCGCGCUUGAAUACAUUAGCAUGGAAUAAUGAAAUAGGACGUUUGAUUCUACUUUGUUGGUUUCUAGGAUUGACGUAAUGAU
RNAcentral lists this ribosomal RNA (220 nucleotides) under uncultured fungus. RNAcentral describes it as "partial 18S ribosomal RNA". The stretch from base 39 to 220 matches the Rfam family "Eukaryotic small subunit ribosomal RNA", at positions 686 to 869 of the family's 1831-position model. Lineage: Eukaryota; Fungi. The record is from RNAcentral.